Molecule: ribosomal RNA, 1373 nt
Filed under: uncultured bacterium
Lineage: Bacteria
Description: bacterial SSU rRNA
Rfam family: Bacterial small subunit ribosomal RNA
Source: RNAcentral
GAUGAACGCUGGCGGCGUGCCUAAUACAUGCAAGUCGAGCGAACGGACGAGAAGCUUGCUUCUCUGAUGUUAGCGGCGGACGGGUGAGUAACACGUGGAUAACCUACCUAUAAGACUGGGAUAACUUCGGGAAACCGGAGCUAAUACCGGAUAAUAUUUUGAACCGCAUGGUUCAAAAGUGAAAGACGGUCUUGCUGUCACUUAUAGAUGGAUCCGCGCUGCAUUAGCUAGUUGGUAAGGUAACGGCUUACCAAGGCAACGAUGCAUAGCCGACCUGAGAGGGUGAUCGGCCACACUGGAACUGAGACACGGUCCAGACUCCUACGGGAGGCAGCAGUAGGGAAUCUUCCGCAAUGGGCGAAAGCCUGACGGAGCAACGCCGCGUGAGUGAUGAAGGUCUUCGGAUCGUAAAACUCUGUUAUUAGGGAAGAACAUAUGUGUAAGUAACUGUGCACAUCUUGACGGUACCUAAUCAGAAAGCCACGGCUAACUACGUGCCAGCAGCCGCGGUAAUACGUAGGUGGGCAGCGUUAUCCGGAAUUAUUGGGCGUAAAGGCGCGCGUAGGCGGUUUUUUAAGUCUGAUGUGAAAGCCCACGGCUCAACCGUGGAGGGUCAUUGGAAACUGGAAAACUUGAGUGCAGAAGAGGAAAGUGGAAUUCCAUGUGUAGCGGUGAAAUGCGCAGAGAUAUGGAGGAACACCAGUGGCGAAGGCGACUUUCUGGUCUGUAACUGACGCUGAUGUGCGAAAGCGUGGGGAUCAAACAGGAUUAGAUACCCUGGUAGUCCACGCCGUAAACGAUGAGUGCUAAGUGUUAGGGGGUUUCCGCCCCUUAGUGCUGCAGCUAACGCAUUAAGCACUCCGCCUGGGGAGUACGACCGCAAGGUUGAAACUCAAAGGAAUUGACGGGGACCCGCACAAGCGGUGGAGCAUGUGGUUUAAUUCGAAGCAACGCGAAGAACCUUACCAAAUCUUGACAUCCUUUGACAACUCUAGAGAUAGAGCCUUCCCCUUCGGGGGACAAAGUGACAGGUGGUGCAUGGUUGUCGUCAGCUCGUGUCGUGAGAUGUUGGGUUAAGUCCCGCAACGAGCGCAACCCUUAAGCUUAGUUGCCAUCAUUAAGUUGGGCACUCUAAGUUGACUGCCGGUGACAAACCGGAGGAAGGUGGGGAUGACGUCAAAUCAUCAUGCCCCUUAUGAUUUGGGCUACACACGUGCUACAAUGGACAAUACAAAGGGCAGCGAAACCGUGAGGUCAAGCAAAUCCCAUAAAGUUGUUCUCAGUUCGGAUUGUAGUCUGCAACUCGACUACAUGAAGCUGGAAUCGCUAGUAAUCGUAGAUCAGCAUGCUACGGUGAAUACGUUCCCGGGUCU